This 241-nucleotide ribosomal RNA is filed under the name Francisella tularensis subsp. holarctica. Its description in RNAcentral is "partial 23S ribosomal RNA". It matches the Rfam family "Bacterial large subunit ribosomal RNA", at positions 674 to 914 of the family's 2925-position model. Lineage: Bacteria; Pseudomonadati; Pseudomonadota; Gammaproteobacteria; Thiotrichales; Francisellaceae. The record is from RNAcentral.
ACCGCGAGCUUUAAGAGGGCGACUAGUCGCGAGGAGUAGACCCGACACCGGCGCGAUCUAUCCCUGGCCAGGUUGAAGAUUAGGUAGUACUAAUUGGUGGACCGAACCCAAUACUGUUGCAAAAGUAUGGGAUGAGCUGUGGAUCGGAGUGAAAGGCUAAUCAAGCUCGGAGAUAGCUGGUUCUCCCCGAAAACUAUUUAGGUAGUGCCUCGUGUAUAACUCAUUGGGGUAAAGCACUGUU